AUACGGAGGAUCCGAGCGUUAUCCGGAUUUAUUGGGUUUAAAGGGAGCGUAGGCGGACGCUUAAGUCAGUUGUGAAAGUUUGCGGCUCAACCGUAAAAUUGCAGUUGAUACUGGGUGUCUUGAGUACAGUAGAGGCAGGCGGAAUUCGUGGUGUAGCGGUGAAAUGCUUAGAUAUCACGAAGAACUCCGAUUGCGAAGGUAGCCUGCUAGACUGUAACUGACGUUGAUGCUCGAAAGUGUGGGUAUCAAACAGGAUUAGAUACCCUGGUAGUCCACACAGUAAACGAUGAAUACUCGCUGUUUGCGAUAUACAGUAAGCGGCCAAGCGAAAGCGUUAAGUAUUCCACCUGGGGAGUACGCCGGCAACGGUGAAACUCAAAGGAAUUGACGGGG
Molecule: ribosomal RNA, 393 nt
Filed under: uncultured bacterium
Lineage: Bacteria
Description: partial 16S ribosomal RNA
Rfam family: Bacterial small subunit ribosomal RNA
Source: RNAcentral